GCGACAUUAGCUCAGUUGGUUAGAGCGCCUGCUUGACGUGCAGGAGGUCACAGGUUCGAGUCCUGUAUGGCGCACCA
Molecule: transfer RNA, 77 nt
Filed under: Bacillota bacterium
Lineage: Bacteria; Bacillati; Bacillota
Also listed under: 2 other names
Description: Firmicutes bacterium (gut metagenome) tRNA-Val
Rfam family: tRNA
About the family: Transfer RNA (tRNA) molecules are approximately 80 nucleotides in length. Their secondary structure includes four short double-helical elements and three loops (D, anti-codon, and T loops).
Source: RNAcentral